This 65-nucleotide transfer RNA is filed under the name bovine gut metagenome. It matches the Rfam family "tRNA", at positions 5 to 66 of the family's 71-position model. Rfam says of the family: Transfer RNA (tRNA) molecules are approximately 80 nucleotides in length. Their secondary structure includes four short double-helical elements and three loops (D, anti-codon, and T loops). The record is from RNAcentral.
UCUGUAGCUCAGUUGGUAGAGCAGGGGACUGAAAAUCCCCGUGUCGUUGGUUCGAUUCCGACCGG